This 49-nucleotide small RNA is filed under the name Chaetoceros curvisetus. RNAcentral describes it as "partial Mitochondrion-encoded tmRNA". Lineage: Eukaryota; Bacillariophyta; Thalassiosirophyceae; Chaetocerotales; Chaetocerotaceae. The record is from RNAcentral.
AUUGCCUUUUAUAAAAAUCUACCAGGGGAUGACAUUGACAUUGACAUUG